CCUACGGGAGGCAGCAGUGAGGAAUAUUGGUCAAUGGACGCAAGCCUGAACCAGCCAAGUAGCGUGCAGGAUGACUGCCCUACGGGUUGUAAACUGCUUUUGUACGGGAAUAAACGGAGGCACGUGUGCCUUUUUGUAUGUAUUUUAUGAAUAAGGAUCGGCUAACUCCGUGCCAGCAGCCGCGGUAAUACGGAGGAUCCGAGCGUUAUCCGGAUUUAUUGGGUUUAAAGGGUGCGUAGACGGUUUGUUAAGUCAGUUGUGAAAGCCCGCGGCUCAACCUCGGAAUUGCCAUUGAUACUGUGCGGCUAGAGAGCAGUUGCGGUAGGCGGAAUGUGUGGUGUAGCGGUGAAAUGCUUAGAGAUCAUGAAGAACACCGAUUGCGAAGGCAGCUUACUAAACUGCCACUGACGUUGAGGCACGAAAGUGUGGGUAGCAAACAGGAUUAGAUACCCGAGUAGUC
This 460-nucleotide ribosomal RNA is filed under the name uncultured bacterium. RNAcentral's name for it is "partial 16S ribosomal RNA". It matches the Rfam family "Bacterial small subunit ribosomal RNA", at positions 338 to 795 of the family's 1533-position model. The record is from RNAcentral.